Molecule: RNA transcript, 2853 nt
Organism: Drosophila ananassae
Lineage: Eukaryota; Metazoa; Arthropoda; Insecta; Diptera; Drosophilidae
Gene: alph
Gene name: protein phosphatase 1B
Exons: 7
Source: RefSeq, a predicted model, not a curated record
ACUCCUUCGAACAAAAUCAUUCUUGCUUGGAGCCGCCGCGACGCGAAUGUGUAACAACAAGUUAAUAGAAAAUACCAAUAAAACGAGCCAGUUAAGAAAUAUUUUUGAUUUUAAAUUGCCACCAUCGAUUUAUUGGCAGGAGCAAAGUAAAAAAUAAUAAUACAAGAGGUUUUGUUGUUCACCUGGAAGUGGAUGUGGUAGCAGCUACGGUCGCACAUAGAUUGAAUAAGCAGAGCGGCGAGACGUGCUGAGUGAGUGAGUGAGUGUGCGUCACUUUGUUAAUCAAAAUAUUAGGAAAAAUUGAAUUUUCGACUCGUGAGUGCAGCGAGCGGUCUCUUGUUAAUUGUUAAUUGCUGUGAAGUUUGUCCGCAAGUCGAAACAGUGUUAAACGGUGAUGCCCCCAACGCACAAUAACUCGAUUUUUCGUUCCUAAAAAUUUUACCUACUCGACCAACACACAUACACUUAUACACACACCUACCCACACACACGCGGCGGCCGAGCUGCAGAGCACGCAGAAGAAGAAGAAGAGUCGGAGGCAAAAGCGAAGCGGAGACCAUCAACUUAAAAUUUGCGAGGUGAAAAUAACGAGAGCGAAGGUUUCCCACCGCCAGCCGCCAACAAAGUUCAUAAAUCGACGUCCCCGACAGUCAGGUCGCAGGCACACCGAACGAAUUCCACCCGCCCGCACACAACACAGCAUGUUCAGUGGACAUGGGCGGAUUCCUGGAUAAGCCGAACACCGCCAAGCACAAUGACGAGGGCGAGGGCAACAAGCUGCUCUUCGGCGUCAGCUCCAUGCAGGGCUGGCGCUGCGAGAUGGAGGACGCCUACUACGCCCGUGCCGGUCUGGGCAAUGCCCUGGAGGACUGGAGCUUCUUUGCCGUGUUCGAUGGGCACGCUGGUUGCAAGGUAUCCGAGCAUUGUGCCAAGCACCUGCUGGACAGCAUUGUCAGCACCGAUGAGUUCAUUGGCGGCGACCACGUGAAGGGCAUACGCACGGGUUUCCUUCGCAUCGACGAGGUUAUGCGGGAUCUGCCGGAGUUCACCAUGGAGGAGGAGAAGUGUGGCGGCACCACCGCCGUUUGCGCAUUUGUCAGCUCCACGCAGGUGUACAUCGCCAACUGUGGUGACUCCCGGGCGGUGCUCUGCCGCCAGGGAGUGCCGGUGUUCGCAACGCAGGAUCAUAAGCCCAUCCUGCCGGAAGAAAAGGAGCGCAUCCACAAUGCCGGCGGCAGCGUCAUGAUCAAGCGAGUGAACGGAACACUGGCGGUUUCCAGGGCUCUCGGCGAUUACGACUUCAAGAAUGUCAAGGAGAAGGGACAGUGCGAGCAGCUGGUCUCGCCGGAGCCGGAGAUCUUCUGUCAGAGCCGACAAGACACCGAUGAGUUUCUGGUGCUUGCAUGUGACGGCAUCUGGGACGUGAUGACCAACGAGGACGUGUGCAGCUUCAUUCACUCGCGAAUGCGGGUGACCAGCGACCUGGUUAACAUCGCCAACCAGGUGGUGGACACGUGCCUGCACAAGGGCAGUCGGGAUAACAUGAGCAUCAUCAUUAUCGCCUUCCCCGGAGCUCCGAAGCCCACCGUGGAGGCGAUAGAGGCUGAGAACAGGCUGGAGAAACAAAUCGAGAAGAUCACAAGAGAUGAGAUAGAGUCUAGCAAGAUAACCGACUACGUGGAUCUGCUGAAGUGUCUCCAGAACAGAGACGACAUCGAAGGUCUUCCCCCCGGUGGCGGUUUGCAGUCCAAAUAUCACGUUAUCGAGCGCACAUUCAAGCAAGAGUUUCCGGAUCGACCAUGUGAAAAACCUCCAAUUGCAUAUUUUAUUCCAUGGAAGUAAUUGAGCUGCAAUUUCAUCAUCGGACAGAGAAUCAAUUUUCAACACAUCCAUUUGGCCCGUAGGAAUGGGUUGUUUAUACCGUUUAUUGCUAUAACUACAGUUUAUAAAGGAUUAAAGUUUUAAUCCUUUAAAGGAGAAAGUCAACAGAUUUUAUUAUCCACAAUGCCACAAUCGAUGGGAUAUAAUUUAUAUGCCUCGCCGCCUCUUAUUUCUUCCGUAAGACCAAGCGUUCAAUUUCACUUACGAUGUCCUUCACACCGAGUGCAGAUACAUAGAUACAGAUCCAGCACAAAAAAUAAGUUAAAUUCCUUGUUUUGAAAAAUUAUUUUUAAAAUUUAUAUUUGUUAGUUGAAUGGUAAAAACUAUUUAUUGCAAUUAUAAAAUUAUUGAAUUUCCUUUAAAUAAACCUUAAUGUUUAAUUUAAAGAUGAUACUAUUAUUUUUCAACAACUGUAUGAUGUAUAUGUCUGAUAUUUGCACCAGAGGAGCAUAUUAACCGUGGCUGGCCGUCCGUUCCGGCCAUGAGCUGUAUGUUGUGUUGGUUCAAGUGAGAGUCCGGAGCCGGGGAAGUGGAAGUGUAUGUCCUGUAUGGGAGGUAGUUUUUAUCUACAGCCCCGCUGACAGCUGAAGAUUUGGCUCUACCUCCGGCCCUGAUUGCUUACAAUGUGCCUGCUCGCUUGGCCCCGCCCAUAGUCCACCACCCACCGCCCACCAUCCCAUCUCCAGUGUCCUCAUUUCAGUUUUUUACAAAAAAAAUGCGAAAAUCCCUGUUGGAGCAAGCGUUGUCGUCGGCGCAUCGUCAUCGCUGCUAAAAUUGAAUUGGAAUUGCUUCAGCUUCAAUGGCAGGCAAACGACAGGCAAUCUGUUGAGUCUCCUCUGAUUGAAUGAGAAGCACAGGAACAAGGUCGCCAAAGGAGCAGGAGGCGGGAGUCGGCUAUUUGUGUGGGUGUGGGUGGGAGUCGGGGAAAAGCGUAACGAAUGCGCGUAAUGCGCUUGGAUGGAUGAAUCCCAG